UACGUAGGGGGCAAGCGUUGUCCGGAAUCAUUGGGCGUAAAGCGCGUGUAGGCGGCUUGGUAAGUCCGUUCUGAAAGCCCGGGGCUCAACCCCGGGAGGCGGAUGGAUACUGUCAAGCUUGAGUCCGGAAGAGGCGAGUGGAAUUCCCGGUGUAGCGGUGAAAUGCGCAGAUAUCGGGAGGAACACCGGUGGCGAAGGCGGUUCUCUGGGCCUGACCUGACGCUGAGGAGCGAAAGCGUGGGGAGCGAACAGG
RNAcentral lists this ribosomal RNA (253 nucleotides) under uncultured bacterium. RNAcentral describes it as "partial 16S ribosomal RNA". It matches the Rfam family "Bacterial small subunit ribosomal RNA", at positions 524 to 776 of the family's 1533-position model. The record is from RNAcentral.